This 720-nucleotide ribosomal RNA is filed under the name uncultured bacterium. RNAcentral's name for it is "partial 16S ribosomal RNA". It matches the Rfam family "Bacterial small subunit ribosomal RNA", at positions 97 to 856 of the family's 1533-position model. The record is from RNAcentral.
GGCGCACGGGUGCGUAACGCGUGGGAAUCUGCCCUUGGGUUCGGAAUAACAUCGGGAAACUGAUGCUAAUACCGGAUGAUGACGUAAGUCCAAAGAUUUAUCGCCCAGGGAUGAGCCCGCGUAGGAUUAGCUAGUUGGUGAGGUAAAGGCUCACCAAGGCGACGAUCCUUAGCUGGUCUGAGAGGAUGAUCAGCCACACUGGGACUGAGACACGGCCCAGACUCCUACGGGAGGCAGCAGUAGGGAAUAUUGGACAAUGGGCGAAAGCCUGAUCCAGCAAUGCCGCGUGAGUGAUGAAGGCCUUAGGGUUGUAAAGCUCUUUUACCCGGGAUGAAAAAACCCCUCCCGGGGAAAAAACCCCCGGUAAAUUCUUGCCCCAAAGCCGGGUUAAAAGGGGGGGGCCAAGGUUUUUUGGAAUUUUUGGGGUAAAAGCCCCUUGGGGGGGGAUUUUAUUUCAGGGGGAAACCCCGGGGUUUAACCCCGGAAAUCCCUUUGGAACUGGAUUGCUUGAACUUCGGGAGGGGAGGGGAAUUCCGAGGGUAGGGGGGAAAUUUGUAGAUUUUGGAAGAACCCCAGGGGGGAAGGCGGCUCACUGGACGAUUGUUGACGCUGAGGUGGAAAAGCGUGGGGAGCAAACCGGGUUAGAUACCCUGGUAGUCCACGCCGUAAACGAUGAUAACUAGCUGCUGGGGUGCAUGGCAUUUCAGUGGCGCAGCUAAC